AAUUCCACAGAUGGACACUGCACUGUGAAGCUGAAAUGCUCGUCUCUGGAUGAAGGUGUGGACUUCUCCUGGGAGGUGAAGCAUCCACUGACCGACGCGUGGUCUUAUAAAAAGUCGGAGAUCCUCGUACCAUUUCUCAACAACACGGAAUUCACCUGCACCAGCAGCAGACCCGGGGAGAGGACUUCACGCACUGUCACUCUAAACUGUGUUGCAGGAAAUCCGCCUAUCAAGGUGAACUGCAAUUGCAGAUAUGGUGUUUGUACUUCCGUUGCACUGAUUGUGGGCUUCUGCACAGCAUUCGGGAUUCAAAGCAAAAAAUUCAAAAAAGCACUCAACUACCUUAAAGGUAUGUAUUCAUCGUGAUCAUCAUUCAUCACUUUCAGAUGGAAAUGUCGUUUGUUACACAAAAUAAUUUCUCCUUUUCCAUUUUGUUUUAGGCAAAUGUGUCCGAAAUGCAUUAGAGCAAGAUAACCCAGAGACAUCGAAUCCAGAAUGACGACACCAUGAACACCAUCUAUACUUUUUAUGAACAUUGCACGAAACACAAGAAAAUACACACACACACACACAU
Molecule: long non-coding RNA, 574 nt
Organism: Solea solea (common sole)
Lineage: Eukaryota; Metazoa; Chordata; Actinopteri; Pleuronectiformes; Soleidae
Exons: 3
Source: RefSeq, a predicted model, not a curated record